Molecule: transfer RNA, 83 nt
Filed under: Bacteroides thetaiotaomicron
Lineage: Bacteria; Pseudomonadati; Bacteroidota; Bacteroidia; Bacteroidales; Bacteroidaceae
Description: tRNA-Ser
Rfam family: tRNA
About the family: Transfer RNA (tRNA) molecules are approximately 80 nucleotides in length.
Source: RNAcentral
GGAGAGGUGGCAGAGUGGUCGAUUGCGGCGGUCUUGAAAACCGUUGUACCGCGAGUGCCGGGGUUCGAAUCCCUGUCUCUCCG